RNAcentral lists this ribosomal RNA (369 nucleotides) under uncultured Streptococcus sp. RNAcentral describes it as "bacterial SSU rRNA". It matches the Rfam family "Bacterial small subunit ribosomal RNA", at positions 1011 to 1382 of the family's 1533-position model. The record is from RNAcentral. Lineage: Bacteria; Bacillati; Bacillota; Bacilli; Lactobacillales; Streptococcaceae.
AAAGUUACUUCGGUACAUCGGUGACAGGUGUGCAUGGUUGUCGUCAGCUCGUGUCGUGAGAUGUUGGGUUAAGUCCCGCAACGGAGCGCAACCCCUAUUGUUAGUUGCCAUCAUUCAGUUGGGCACUCUAGCGAGACUGCCGGUAAUAAACCGGAGGAAGGUGGGAUGACGUCAAAUCAUCAUGCCCCUUAUGACCUGGGCUACACACGUGCUACAAUGGUUGGUACAACGAGUUGCGAGUCGGUGACGGCGAGCUAAUCUCUUAAAGCCAAUCUCAGUUCGGAUUGUAGGCUGCAACUCGCCUACAUGAAGUCGGAAUCGCUAGUAAUCGCGGAUCAGCACGCCGCGGUGAAUACGUUCCCGGGCCUU